AGCGAACGCUGGCGGCAGGCCUAACACAUGCAAGUCGAACGAACCUUUCGGGGUUAGUGGCGGACGGGUGAGUAACACGUGGGAACGUGCCUUAGGGUCGGGAAAAAUCCAGGGAAAUUGGUGCUAAAACCGAUGUGGCCUUCGGGGGGAAGAUUAAUCGCCUUUAGAGCGGCCCGCGUCUGAUUAGCUAGUUGGUUGAGGUAAUGGCUCACCAAGGCGACGAUCAGUAGCUGGUCUGAGAGGAUGAUCAGCCACAUUGGGACUGAGACACGGCCCAAACUCCUACGGGAGGCAGCAGUGGGGAAUCUUGCGCAAUGGGCGAAAGCCUGACGCAGCCAUGCCGCGUGAAUGAUGAAGGUCUUAGGAUUGUAAAAUUCUUUCACCGGGGACGAUAAUGACGGUACCCGGAGAAGAAGCCCCGGCUAACUUCGUG
This 433-nucleotide ribosomal RNA is filed under the name uncultured bacterium. RNAcentral describes it as "partial 16S ribosomal RNA". It matches the Rfam family "Bacterial small subunit ribosomal RNA", at positions 29 to 507 of the family's 1533-position model. The record is from RNAcentral.